Non-coding RNA from Perkinsus marinus ATCC 50983, 72 nucleotides. The record is from Rfam. Lineage: Eukaryota; Perkinsozoa; Perkinsida; Perkinsidae.
GGGCGUGUGAUUUAGAGGUAUCACGUCUGCUUUGCAUGCAGAAGGCCCCGAGUUCAAUUCUCGGCAUGUCCA